This 497-nucleotide ribosomal RNA is filed under the name uncultured bacterium. Its description in RNAcentral is "partial 16S ribosomal RNA". It matches the Rfam family "Bacterial small subunit ribosomal RNA", at positions 28 to 507 of the family's 1533-position model. The record is from RNAcentral.
GACGAACGCUGGCGGCGUGCCUAAUACAUGCAAGUUGAGCGCUGAAGGUUGGUACUUGUACCGACUGGAUGAGCAGCGAACGGGUGAGUAACGCGUGGGGAAUCUGCCUUUGAGCGGGGGACAACAUUUGGAAACGAAUGCCAAUACCGCAUAAAAACUUUAAACACAAGUUUUAAGUUUGAAAGAUGCAAUUGCAUCACUCAAAGAUGAUCCCGCGUUGUAUUAGCUAGUUGGUGAGGUAAAGGCUCACCAAGGCGAUGAUACAUAGCCGACCUGAGAGGGUGAUCGGCCACAUUGGGACUGAGACACGGCCCAAACUCCUACGGGAGGCAGCAGUAGGGAAUCUUCGGCAAUGGACGAAAGUCUGACCGAGCAACGCCGCGUGAGUGAAGAAGGGUUUCGGAUCGUAAAACUCUGUUGGUAGAGAAGAACGUUGGUGAGAGUGGAAAGCUCAUCAAGUGACGGUAACUACCCAGAAAGGGACGGCUAACUACGUG